This 6328-nucleotide long non-coding RNA is filed under the name Sus scrofa (pig). Its description in RNAcentral is "lncRNA (ENSSSCG00030045238.1)". Lineage: Eukaryota; Metazoa; Chordata; Mammalia; Artiodactyla; Suidae. The record is from RNAcentral.
UUCGUAUUAAAAAAAAAAAAGAGAGCAUUCACCUUGUGAUGUCACCAUCACCCCCAGCCCCUCCAGAUCUUUUUCUUCUCCAGUGACACUCUGUCCCCAUUCGAUGCCACCCCCCUCCUCCUCCCCCAAGCCGGGGCACUCACCGUCCGCUUUCUGUCUCUGUGAAUCCAACUCCUCCAGGACCUUGCAGACCUGGAGCCACACAGGAUCUGCCCCUUUGUGACUUAGGUCCCUCGGCAUACUUCCUUCAAGCUUCCUCUAUGCCUGUUGUUAGAUUUUACACUUAGUUUUUAGUUGGACUGUCUUUGUUUUCAUACUGAGGACCCUGACACUGGAAACAGAGCAACCACCUGACAGUUUGCCUGGCUGAGAGGCUUCCUUCUCACCACCCUAACAUAUACUUAGCUUUGCCAUAGUGGGCAUUUUGCAGCAGUUUUCCCGCCUGUCCACUGCACAGUUGGCAUGUUAAUGGCUGCUCAUGGCUCUCAGCACGGCCCGCACCUCAAGGAUGGAGGUUGUGCACCCCCCUCUCCGUUGGGGCAGACUUCAGAGAACCCACAGAAGCCCCUCCUUCUUCCCUAGCAACACAAAGCACCCUGACCACGAGGCACAAUACAGGCAUGUGGUUAGCUCCCUCUCCGAGUACAACAGGCUCUUUUUGUUUUAAAUCUUCUGUUUUGGAGUUCCUAUCCUGGUGCAGCAGAAAUGAAUCUGACUAGGAACCUUGAGGUUGCAGGUUUGAUCCCUGGCCUCGCUUAGCCAGUCGAGGAUCUGGCGUUGCCGUGAGCUGUGGUGUAGGUUGCAGGCAUGGCUUGGAUCUGGCAUUGCUGCGGCUGUGGUAUAGACUGGCAGCUACAGCUCUGAUUAGACCCCUAGCCUGGGAACCUCCAUAUGCCGUGAGUGUGGCCCUAAAAAAAAAAGACAAAAAAAAAAUUUUUUUUUUCUGUCUUUUUAGGGCCAUACCUGCUGUACAUGGAGGUUCCCAGGCUAGGAGUCCAAUCGGAGCUGCUGGCCUAUGCCACAGCCAUAGCAACACCAGAUCCAAGCCACAUUUGUGACUUACACUGCAGCUUGCAGCAACACCCGAUCCUUAACCCACUGAACAAGGCCAGUUAUCAAACCCACAUCCUCACGGAUACUAGCCAGGUUCUUAACCUGCUGAGCCACAACGGGAACUCCACAACAGACUCUUAAUACCUGCCCUUUUUUUUGUUUUGUUUUUUUGGGGUUUUUUUGUUUUGUUUUGUUUUGGCUGCCCUCGUGGCAUGCAGAAGUUCCCCAGCCAGGGAUCAGACCUGAGCCACAGCAGUGACCCAAGCAGCAGCAGUGACAACAUUGGAGCCUUAACCUGCUGAGUCACAAGGGAACUUCAAAACCUGCUUUUGGUUUGUUUGCUCUUUAUAAUGAUUAUUUUUAAGUAGUAUAUUCUAAUGGUUAAGUAUAUAUAUACACAGUAAGGGAGUUCCCGUUGUGGCUCAGCAGGUUAAGAACCCGGCUAGUACCCAUGAGGAUUCUCUUGCCUCGCUCAGUGGGUUAAGGAUCCGGCAUUGUGUGAGCUGUGGUGUAGGUCACAGACAUGGCUCAGAUCUGGUGUUGUGGCUGUGGCUGUAGCGUAGGCUGGUGGCUCCAGUUCAGCCCCUAGCCUGGGAACCUCCCUGUGUCAGGAGUAUGGCCAUAAAAAGACACCCCCCCCCAACACACACGUAAGAAUAUGCACUGAAGAUAAGCCUCCUAUCUUGACUUUACUUCCUGGUCCCCUCCCCAGUGGCCUUCUUUCCAGAGACGGUUCACAGAUAACAAGCACAUGGCUGCCUUUUUACGCAAAAGAUUUCAUCUCAUACCCACUGAUCUGAACCAUGUUUUUUGAAAAAAAUACAGAAAAGUAAGACUGUAAUAUGAAAAGUUCCCGCCACUCAGAGCUGAUUAAAAACUAGCUAUAUUUUUCCCCCACAAAAAAAGAAAUAUCCCAUGUUGCUGUGGCUGUGGUGUAGGCCAGCAACUGUAGCUCUGAUUCCACCCCUAGCCUGGGAAUGUCCAUAUGCCAAGGGUGCGGCGCCCCCAAAAAAGUGAUGAUACUCAUCGCUUUCGCUUCUUUCUCUUUCUCUCCUAUCUUCCAGUUUCCUCUAAAUGCCAGAAUUAAUCUGCUAUCAUUGUAACCCCAAUUAUACCUCAUGUUUCUGGGUUUAGGGUCAGAUCAACAGCUGGAGGUCACUCAGAGUUAAUCCAGGUGAACCAUGGAGGUUCAGCACAACCAAACGUUCUGGGUGGCCUGGAAUUCACUUUGCCCUGGUGUGUAUUUAUAGGCUGUCCUAAAAUUGCACCAAGUACUGGCACUACUGUUGUGACCUCUUACAACCUUGGGGUGCCCAGCACAACCUGGGCUGCUGAGACCACUUGGGCCCUGGUCUGACCUAACCCUAAGGCCAUUGCAGGGGGUGCUGGCACAGGGGAGCUAGGGCCGUGGUGACUUUUCACUUCUUUCUCAUUCUUUUUAGCUCCUUAAAAUACUCCCCAUGGGAGUUAGGCUUCUCACAGUAAAAGGGAAAGAGAAGAAACAAAAAUGAAGUGAACUUGAUGCCAUAUGGAGUAUUUGAAAGUUGCUAAGAGAGUAGAUCCUAGGAGUUUUCUGGUGGCUCGGUGAGUUAAGGAUCCAGCAUUGUCACUGCUGUGGCUUGAGUUGAUGCUGUGGUGCAGUGAUCCCCAGCCUGAGGACUUCCACAUGCUGUGGGGCCUGGCCAAAAAGAGAGAGAGAGUAGGUUCUAAGUGUUCCCUUCACAAGGAGGAAAAUCUUUUAAAUCUCUAUAGGGUGAUGGAUUUAACUAAACUCACUGUGGUCAUCAUCUCACAAUAUGUGCGAGUCAGGUCGCCAUGCCGUUGCCCUAAAACUUACAGAGCACUGUGUGUCAAUUACAUUUCAAAAAUGAAAAAGAGAGAAAGAAAGAAAGAAAGAAAGAAAGAACCCACUUCUUUACAUGAAAAAAUACAAAAAACAAAACAAAACAAAAAAAACACCUCAGUGUUCAGAUUUCCAAACAAUUUCCUUGCCCCUCUUUUGUUAAAAGAUAAGCAGAAACAGUAGGUGUUCUGAGAGAGAAGAUUUUUCUUAGCCUUUCUGGCCUGGACAGUGUCUGAAGUUGUGUACAGUGAACUUUGCAGAGGACACAGUUUCCCAAGAUUGUUUAGCUCAGAGUGAAGGACAUGGCACAUGGGCAGGACAUGUGACUGUCACGCAGGGCAGGUUCUUCGGACCAGUCACCCUGCAUGCUCAUAUUUUGAGCAAACACUGGGACUUGGGUUUCUAAGCACAGCCAGCUUUGUAGGGGUGACACCCCAGUCACCUCCCUCUUCCAGCCGAGAGUCACCAGAACACAAUGUCCCCAUCUUAUGAAUGGGCAUUGUUCUCAGAAAGAAUUCCUAAAUACUUUGUUUAGAACUGGAAGGCACUUUCCCAGAUAAACUAGAGUAUGCGUAAUCCAUACUAUUCAGGGCAGCCCAAAAGGACCAACAGAAACCCCACCCUGAGUAGAGACCUGCCUCUCAGGAAACACCUUCCAGUUUGCAAGCUGAGGUCCUGGGACCCUUCCCUACCACCGCAGCCCCUCUGUGAGCAGGGCCACCAGCACGUCCCGGCACCAGGCUGGGCUGAGCCAAGGGAGGAAGGUGUUCUCUGCUGUGGCCUUGGGCCCCCCUGAGGACACAGUCCCGCCCUCCUGGUACAGACUGGUGGCCUUACUGCUUUGAGGCUUUGCGGACACAAGGGGAUCCAGCAGUCAAGACAGACUGGAGGGCAGGAAAGCUGACAUUCCGGUCCUGGGAGCUGGGGCGACAUCUACAGAAGAGACACACUCUGGCCCUGGGGCUGAUGUCCAAGGCCAGGGUCCCAUUCAUGGACCCAGGAGAUGGGUGACCUCCUCUCCCCACCCUCAUUCUCCCACCAGCUGAAUUCUUGUCUUCUGAACUCAGAUCCUGUGUGUUCACAGAGGGACAAGCAGUCAGCAACCUGUCCCCUUCCCUCAGGCCUCUCCCUGGUGACUGAAGGGAAGGGUGCUUUUUAUUUUCUUGGCUGCACCCAAAGCAUGCGGAAGUUUCCAGGGCAGGGAUCACACCCACGCCACAGCAGUAACAAUACCGGGUCCUUUAACCACUAGGCCACCAGGGAACUCCCUCCAUUUUUUCUUUUCUUUCUUUUUUUGUUUUUUUGGCCACAGGUACAGCAACACUGGAUCCAAGCCAAGUCUGCAACCUACUCCACAGCUCAUGGCAAUGCUGGGUCCUUAACCCACUGAUCAAAGGCAGGGAUCGAACCCGCAUCCUCAUGGAUACUAGUCAGGUUCAUUUCCGCUAGGCCACAAAAGGGACUCCUCUUUUACUUUCUAUGCAGUGGGUUAAGGCUGAGGCAGGCAACCUCCCCACCCAUCUCCUGGCUCCCACCCCUACAACCUUCCCUGGGUUACCUCAGUUCAGGCCUCUCCCUCCUCCUGCCACCCCCCACCCUCCAGGGGCCACGGUCCUGCCUGGCCCGAGGGCUUAACUCCUUAUGCUGUGUUAGUUACAUUGCCAGAACAAAUUAAAAUUUUCAGAUAAUCAAAAACAAAACAAACAAACAAAAGGAACCCAACUGUUUUAUGUAAAAUGAACCCACCAUGGGGCCUCUCUCUGUAAUUCACACAGGCUGAGAAGCUAGUUCUGCCAUCCCGGCCUCACAGCGCCCCGACUCAAGGCUUCCCCAUCCCCUCUCUGUUUCAACACGUACACCAGAUGCCCUUUCUUCACUCUGUGCAAAUCUGUGUCCUUGGCUCUGCACGUCUUGAUCUCUCACCUUAGAUUCAGGACGGCCAAGUUCCUUCAGCUGUAUGCCCCUAUCAGAAGUUUCCUGACUCACCCUUCUUGUUCAAAAUUCACAGUGGCAAGAUGGGGGAAGAUUACUGUACACACCUGAGGCUCACAAGGAAACACACACCUCUGUUGCAGGUGACUACAUCCUGUGAUUACCCAGACAUCCGCUGAGGAACAAGAAGGAGCUUGGAGUCGGUCAGCGUCAAUUAGCAGCUGUGUGAGUCAGAGGAUGUUACUCGACCUCUCUGAAUCUUGUUUUCCCACCUGUAACUUGUGGAUGGUAAUGCCUACCUUGCAGAGGUACUGAGAGAAUUAUAUACAAUACAUGCAAAGCAGCUGGUACAGUAAGGCCUCCACAUGGUAGCUAGAGUUAUUCCCACCUCGGCAGUGAUGACCUUCAAACAUGCAGAGAAUUCGGCUACUUAAGAGCAAGGGCUAACCCAUGCCACUUCCCGGCCUGAGCUCCACUGUUGUCACCCACAUCUGGCAUGCUGGCCAGACUAGGCACUCCCCUCAUCUUUAUUCCACACUCAACCUUUAAAAAAAUAAGUAAAACAGGAGUUCCUGUGUGGCUCAAUAGGUUGGGGAUCAGGCAUAGGUGGGUGCUGUGGCAAGGGUUCAAUCCCUGGCCCAGGAUUUCCUCAGGCUGCUGGUGGGGCCAAAAAAAAUUAAAACAACACUGAGGCUGAUCUAAUUCUUCCCAAAUUGGUCCAGAGGAAAAAUCUGAAGCUCCACUGGGCUGCCUGCAAGGACCAUAUACCCUUUUUUUCUUUUUUUUCUCUUUUUAGGGCCACACCUGCAGCAUAUGGAGGAGUCAAAUUGGAGCUGUAACUGCCGGCCUACACCACAAGGUAGGGAUCCAAGCCUCAUAUCUGUGGGAUCCAAGCCUCAUAUCUGUGACCUACAGGUCACGGCAACAUCAGAUCCCUAACUCUGAGAGAGGCUAGGGAUCGAACCCAUGGAUGCUAGUCAGGUUCUUAACCCGCUGAGCCACGAUGGGAACUCCCGCAUGCCCAACUUUUUGAACCAAGUGACACCAUGUGGCCUCACAGGAGCGCAGCGCAGCCCAGAACCGGCUCUGCGGGAGCCUGGUCCCAGCCAGGCUGGGAGAGGGGUUGGCUGUGUCAGGAAAUGAAACAUGAAGAAACAAAGCACCUUACACCUGCGAAUGGACUCACAUCCCACUCCCUGAAUGCCCUUUCCGUCCACAGUCUAAGAUUCCCAGGCUGGACAAUCCAUGCUCUCAAAUCAGAAGGGACAAAAAUCACGCUGGCCAUUUAUAAAGUCUCAAACACGUGCUGCCACUGCUCCAGAGGUCGUGGGACAUUUACAGGAACAUCUUGCAGUCCUUGUCCUACUCGGAUAUUUCUUUUUGGCAAAGGACUCAGACCUUGCAGAACUGGGAUCCAGCGUUGUCACUACUGUGGCUCAGGUCACUGCAGUGGCACAGGUUCCAUCCCUGGUCAAGGAAUUUCCACAUGCCCAGGGCAUG